Oncorhynchus keta (chum salmon) is the source of this 1030-nucleotide long non-coding RNA. RefSeq lists it as uncharacterized. NCBI's taxonomy places the organism in Eukaryota, Metazoa, Chordata, Actinopteri, Salmoniformes, Salmonidae. The record is from RefSeq and is a predicted model, not a curated record. The transcript is spliced from 4 exons.
GAGACCACUACAAAAUACAAAACAGUAAAUGUGAAAACCGAAACAGUCCUAGCUGGUGCAAUGACACAGACAGAAGACCACCACCCACAAACCUCCCAAAACAAAACAAGCUACCUAAAUAUGGUUCCCAAUCAGAGACAAUGACUAACACCUGCCUCUGAUUGAGAACCAUAUCAGGCCGUACAUAGAAACGGACAAACAAUAUAGAAUGCCCACCCAGCUCACGUCCUGACCAACACUAAAACACACCAGAACUAUGGUCAGAACGUGACAAUGGUAGUCUGGCCAAUGCUGCUGAAAAUGUUUUUGGUUUGUUGUUGAAGAACCCCUUUCACUAUCUGGGGUACACGAGAGGGUCUACUUCUGCCUGAGGUCAGUUUCAUGAAGAAGGAUGAAAAGGUGAGGGCGUUCAAUACCAACUGGUAUCGAAAGUAUAGUUGUUUAACAGGGAGCCUUUCACCAAGUUGCCUGUAUUGCUGGCCUUGCCUGCGUUUUUGGGCAUGCAAGAAUUUGCUUUUAGAGGACACGACGAGAUGGACAUUUCCGCCGACGGGCAACUACAAGGACCUUGCAGAGCUAAGUCCCCUCCUGUUCCCUGAUUUAAGAGGUAAUGACUACUCUUCUCCACUACCUUUGUCAACUUUCUCCUGACAUGAACUGAAGCCACGUCUCGUGCCCGCUCAUCCAUUGGCGCAUUGAAUGUUCCCCUCCAAUUACUGCCUACUAGUUGUCUUUAUGUAGGUCAAACCUUCUAUCUGAAUGGACUGCUGACUAACUGUCUGGAGAAGAAAAUGAGGCCAUCAUCAGUUGAACAAGGGGGCCGACCAGCUCCAAGAGGUGGGUUAGGAUGGUCGAUGAGAUCAAGAAGAUCCAAAUCCUGAGGACCGGCAGCGUCCAGUGCUUAGCAGCAUGCUGGCGAGAGAACAGCCCUGAGUAUACGGUUAGAGACUGGCUUAAUGAAAUCUCCAUGACGGGCCGCUCUUCUCUUACGACCUUGGCUGGCCAAACCACCGCCUCUCACAGCCGGCGC